This 382-nucleotide ribosomal RNA is filed under the name Streptococcus gordonii. Its description in RNAcentral is "bacterial SSU rRNA". It matches the Rfam family "Bacterial small subunit ribosomal RNA", at positions 28 to 392 of the family's 1533-position model. Lineage: Bacteria; Bacillati; Bacillota; Bacilli; Lactobacillales; Streptococcaceae. The record is from RNAcentral.
GACGAACGCUGGCGGCGUGCCUAAUACAUGCAAGUAGAACGCACAGUUUAUACCGUAGCUUGCUACACCAUAGACUGUGAGUUGCGAACGGGUGAGUAACGCGUAGGUAACCCGCCUGGUAGCGGGGGAUAACUAUUGGAAACGAUAGCUAAUACCGCAUAAUAUUAAUUAUUGCAUGAUAAUUAAUUGAAAGGUGCAAUUGCACCACUACCAGAUGGACCUGCGUUGUAUUAGCUAGUAGGUGAGGUAACGGCUCACCUAGGCGACGAUACACAGCCGACCUGAGAGGGUGAUCGGCCACACUGGGACUGAGACACGGCCCAGACUCCUACGGGAGGCAGCAGUAGGGAAUCUUCGGCAAUGGACGAAAGUCUGACCGAGC